AACAAAACGCACUCCGGUAAACACUGAUGUAUGGCCCUCUCUAAUGUCCUGUUGUGUUGGUUGUGCUCAGGUGGAGGCGGUGCAGGUGGAGGAGUUCCUGGACAGGGGCCGGUCUGGAUGAUGGUUCGUGGGAGAGACAGGAGGACAUCGCGGUGACGGCUCUGAAGCUGCAGCUGAUUCUUCAGGAAGUGCAGAUCAAGUUCUGGAAGGAGGAGGAGGAGGAGCUGAAGGCUGCGUCUCAGAGCAGAGUGAAGAUGGAGAGGAUCCCGGUGUCCAGCCCUGACCGGAGCUCAAACCGUUCAUGAAGCAGCUGGAGAAACAGGGACUGCAUGUGAUGAAGGUAACGGACUCAGAGUUUAGAUCUGACUCUCUGGAGCUGCAGAGGAAGUGACCCACGUGUGUUGCAGACGGAGCGAGUGGAAAACCGGCACUGGGAGAAACUCUUCAAGCUCAGAAAGGCCCAGAUGCCCUCCCUCUCCUCUGAUGACAAACUGCUGCAGCUCGUCCCGGCCCAGUUCUGCAACAUGGUCAGCUAUAUUGGAUUCAGACCAGAGUGCGCUCCACCCAACGACUCGUGUCUCGGUGAGGGCCUAUAUUUCGCGGCGGAUGUGUUCACGGCUCUGCGCGUGUGGACGGAGCGCUCGGACCGGUUCCUGUACGUAUUCGUGGCCGAGGUCUUAAAAGGCCGGUGCGGACGAGGACAACCCGGGCUGGUCCUGGCUCCAGGACUGGCCUCCGGAGCGGAUCCUAUGGCGCGCUACGACUCUGUGGAAGGAUUCGGAGCCACGGUAAUAUUCGACCAUCGUCAGGCGCUGCCAGGUUCAUCAUCACCUGCAGGAUGGACGGCAGCUUCGUGUGAGAGAACAAACUAUUCCAGAAGAACAGACACUUUACUGAGAUUAAAAAUGUCUCUCAUACAGCGCCCCUGCUGUCACUUUUACAGUUUACACAGGAUUAUAGACCAAAAGUAUCAGCAUCGGCCUGAGAACCACCCGAGCACAGUUUCUCUAGUUCAGCUUUACCCAAAUCUAAAAGCUUCUCGAUGGGAGAUGUAGACUCUCAGUCGAACAGGAGUUUCCCAUCUUCAGUGAAGGUUCUUGAGUCCCCAUCACAUUUGACGCUUUUUUGAAUCACUUUUUUGUUUCGUUUUGUCACUGUUUUACUGUGUUACUGCUGCUUUUCCGGCGUGUUUUCCUUUUUUGAUGCUUUAGAUUUGGGUAAAGCUGAACCAGUUAAAGUGGGGGUUAAGAGGUUAAAAUGACGCUUGUUUUCCUCAUGAUUGAAGCUUAGACUUAUCGAACGUUUAUUCAACAAUAACUCAUGGAGACGAUACAGUACGAUGUUUUCUAUCAGACAAAUUCAAUCCUUAUUUGUUUUUAUCACUUUUUGUGUGUAGUUUAAAGCAGAACUAAGUAACGUGUUUACCUUUAAUAAAUCCUUCCCGUCGUCCCUCUGGGGGUAAUACAAGUGUUAAUGGGAUGAUUGGAGGGUCUUUCAUCUCCCCCUGGUGUCUCUGGGUCGGAGUCACCAAUACACACUAAUGGAAUCACGAAGAAGAAGCUAACAGGCUAACGGGCUAAGCUAACUGCGGGCUAGCUCCACUUAAACAGUAUUUACAGCCAAGUUUGAGUGAAACAAAUGAUCUUAUUGUGUAACUGGAUGAUCAAUAUCCCUCUGUCCCUUUGUCUUUUCUGUCAGUGUAGUAUUUACUCUCACGGACAAUUAAUGAGUAAAAACACAACAUGUACGACAGCUGCAGUGGCGCUUAUGGCCUCUAGGGGCAUGAGUUACUUAGUACUGCUUUAACCUCUUAGCUCUGGUCGAGAAGCUUUUAGAUUUGGGUAAAGUCGAACUGGAGGUGAAGAAGUUUUAACACAAAAUGUAACAAAGUGCUGUUACUGGAAACAAAGGAAGUAUAAAGUAUAAAGUAUUUAGUCCCAGCCCUAACGUGUACUGUAUAGGAUAUGUUCAAGAAGUUACACGUUUUAUUUCUAUGAUUGAAACCUUUAGUUUUGUAAUAAAUGUUUAAAUAAUCAGAUUAAAUCACUAAUAUAUCGGCGUAUGUGUAUCAGGAGCCUAAUCGAUAAUCACUUGAUGCUUUUGUUGAAAAAUUAAAACCUUUUUUUGCCUUUUCUUUUAAUACCUUUGUAAAGUUUUGUUCUGUCUCAUGUUUUAUCUUUAAACUUCAUUACAAUCCGUUCUGUGAAGAGCUUUGUUUGAUUUUAUUGUUGUGAAGGAAAUGAAUCUGGUGUGGGACAAAGUAAAUAAGCUGAUUU
RNAcentral lists this long non-coding RNA (2276 nucleotides) under Neogobius melanostomus (round goby). RNAcentral describes it as "lncRNA (ENSNMLG00000002824.1)". Lineage: Eukaryota; Metazoa; Chordata; Actinopteri; Gobiiformes; Gobiidae. The record is from RNAcentral.